Molecule: ribosomal RNA, 426 nt
Filed under: uncultured Actinomycetes bacterium
Lineage: Bacteria; Bacillati; Actinomycetota; Actinomycetes
Description: bacterial SSU rRNA
Rfam family: Bacterial small subunit ribosomal RNA
Source: RNAcentral
AACGCGAAGAACCUUACCUGGGCUUGACAUGUGAGUGACCGGCAUGGAAACAUGCCUUCCCUUCGGGGCACUUUCACAGGUGGUGCAUGGCUGUCGUCAGCUCGUGUCGUGAGAUGUUGGGUUAAGUCCCGCAACGAGCGCAACCCCCGUCGCAUGUUGCCAGCAUUUAGUUGGGGACUCAUGCGAGACUGCCGGUGACAAACCGGAGGAAGGUGGGGAUGACGUCAAGUCCUCAUGCCCCUUAUGUCCAGGGCUACACACGUGCUACAUUGGCGCAUACAGAGGGCUGCGAUACCGCGAGGUGGAGCGAAUCCCUUAAAGUGCGUCUCGGUUCGGAUUGCAGGCUGAAAUUCGCCUGCAUGAAGGCGGAGUUGCUAGUAAUCGCGGAUCAGCACUGCCGCGGUGAAUACGUUCCCGGGCCUUGUA